UACGGGGGGAGCAAGCGUUGUUCGGAUUUACUGGGCGUAAAGGGCGCGUAGGCGGUCAGCACAAGUCAGUUGUGAAAUCUCCGGGCUUAACCCGGAAAGGUCAACUGAUACUGUGCGACUAGAGUGCGGAAGGGGCAACUGGAAUUCUCGGUGUAGCGGUGAAAUGCGUAGAUAUCGAGGGGAACACCUGCGGCGAAGGCGGGUUGCUGGGCCGACACUGACGCUGAUGCGCGAAAGCCAGGGGAGCGAACGGG
Molecule: ribosomal RNA, 254 nt
Filed under: uncultured bacterium
Lineage: Bacteria
Description: partial 16S ribosomal RNA
Rfam family: Bacterial small subunit ribosomal RNA
Source: RNAcentral